UGGUUUUUAGACUUUAUAGGAAUCAAAAUCAACUCAUGCAUAUUUAAUAUACAGUGGUACAGAGUAAGUAUUUCCAUUCCAAAGGGAGAAUAGGCACAUAGAAAGAAGAAAUGGCUAAGAAUCAAACUGAAAUCGAACUUGGCCAACAAAUCUUCUAUUCCUAUGCUCAGCAAGUGGGGCACAUGUUGUGGACAGUGGGCUCCAAGAGACUUGAGCACCCUGAUUCCAUGUCCUCUCACAUGGGUUGGCUCUAUCCUCAGCCAGCAACAUCCCCUGACAUAUAGUACGCAUUGCCAGCAUCUCUUCAUCCCAGGGGUCACUACUGCAGCUUCAACUUCCUUCUACAACUGCACAUAUGACCCUGUCAGGGCCUACCUGCAUGGCUUUGCACCUCGUUAUACUUUGACCUGCCAGGCCUUCCUUUCCAAUCUUGUUGGAAGCCUUCAUGACCACCUAAUUCUAGCAUCCUGCAUUCCUGCAGAACGAGCACCAUGUAGUUGAAGCCAAUGUCUGCCACCAUCUCA
This 524-nucleotide long non-coding RNA is filed under the name Marmota monax (woodchuck). The record is from RNAcentral. Lineage: Eukaryota; Metazoa; Chordata; Mammalia; Rodentia; Sciuridae.